This 959-nucleotide ribosomal RNA is filed under the name uncultured Actinomycetes bacterium. RNAcentral's name for it is "bacterial SSU rRNA". It matches the Rfam family "Bacterial small subunit ribosomal RNA", at positions 364 to 1336 of the family's 1533-position model. The record is from RNAcentral. Lineage: Bacteria; Bacillati; Actinomycetota; Actinomycetes.
UUGCACAAUGGGCGCAACCUGAUGCAGCAACGCCGCGUGAGGGACGACGGCCUUCGGGUUGUAAACCUCUUUUAGCAGGGAAGAAGCGAAAGUGACGGUACCUGCAGAAAAAGCACCGGCUAACUACGUGCCAGCAGCCGCGGUAAUACGUAGGGUGCAAGCGUUAUCCGGAAUUAUUGGGCGUAAAGAGCUCGUAGGCGGUUUGUCGCGUCUGCUGUGAAAACCCGAGGCUCAACCUCGGGCCUGCAGUGGGUACGGGCAGACUAGAGUGCGGUAGGGGAGAUUGGAAUUCCUGGCGUACGGUGGAAUGCGCAGAUAUCAGGAGGAACACCGAUGGCGAAGGCAGAUCUCUGGGCCGUAACUGACGCUGAGGAGCGAAAGCAUGGGGAGCGAACAGGAUUAGAUACCCUGGUAGUCCAUGCCGUAAACGUUGGGAACUAGAUGUGGGGACCAUUCCACGGUCUCCGUGUCGCAGCUAACGCAUUAAGUUCCCCGCCUGGGGAGUACGGCCGCAAGGCUAAAACUCAAAGGAAUUGACGGGGGCCCGCACAAGCGGCGGAGCAUGCGGAUUAAUUCGAUGCAACGCGAAGAACCUUACCAAGGCUUGACAUAUACGAGAACGCUGCAGAAAUGUAGAACUCUUUGGACACUCGUAUACAGGUGGUGCAUGGUUGUCGUCAGCUCGUGUCGUGAGAUGUUGGGUUAAGUCCCGCAACGAGCGCAACCCUCGUCGUAUGUUGCCAGCACGUAAUGGUGGGAACUCAUAUGAGACUGCCGGGGUCAACUCGGAGGAAGGUGGGGAUGAGGUCAAAUCAUCAUGCCCCUUAUGUCUUGGGCUUCACGCAUGCUACAAUGGCCGGUACAAAGGGCUGCAAUACCGUAAGGUGGAGCGAAUCCCAAAAAGCCGGUCUCAGUUCGGAUUGAGGUCUGCAACUCGACCCCAUGAAGUCGGAGUCGCU